UACGUAGGGCGCAAGCGUUGUCCGGAAUUAUUGGGCGUAAAGAGCUCGUAGGCGGCUUGUCACGUCGGGUGUGAAAGCCCGGGGCUUAACCCCGGGUCUGCAUUCGAUACGGGCUAGCUAGAGUGUGGUAGGGGAGACUGGAAUUCCUGGUGUAGCGGUGAAAUGCGCAGAUAUCAGGAGGAACACCGGUGGCGAAGGCGGGUCUCUGGGCCGUAACUGACGCUGAGGAGCGAAAGCGUGGGGAGCGAACAGG
Molecule: ribosomal RNA, 253 nt
Filed under: uncultured bacterium
Lineage: Bacteria
Description: partial 16S ribosomal RNA
Rfam family: Bacterial small subunit ribosomal RNA
Source: RNAcentral